UACGUAGGGGGCUAGCGUUGUCCGGAAUCAUUGGGCGUAAAGAGCGUGUAGGCGGCUCGGUAAGUCCGCUGUGAAAGCCCAGGGCUCAACCCUGGAAUGCCAGUGGAAACUGUCGAGCUAGAGUCCGGAAGAGGCGAGUGGAAUUCCUGGUGUAGCGGUGAAAUGCGCAGAUAUCAGGAGGAACACCAAUGGCGAAGGCAGCUCGCUGGGACGGUACUGACGCUGAGACGCGAAAGCGUGGGGAGCAAACAGG
This 253-nucleotide ribosomal RNA is filed under the name uncultured bacterium. Its description in RNAcentral is "partial 16S ribosomal RNA". It matches the Rfam family "Bacterial small subunit ribosomal RNA", at positions 524 to 776 of the family's 1533-position model. The record is from RNAcentral.